Molecule: long non-coding RNA, 688 nt
Filed under: Homo sapiens (human)
Lineage: Eukaryota; Metazoa; Chordata; Mammalia; Primates; Hominidae
Description: non-protein coding lnc-RC3H1-1:3
Source: RNAcentral
CUGGCAGUUGCUGAGUUCGGAAGAUUAACUCUGAAUGUGGAGAGAUUAUUUUCUUGCUCGUAAACCUGGUUUACAUAUUUUCAUUCUUAAUGCUCAGUAAUCUUAAGGAAAGUCACCUGAAAGAAUACUUUUUCACCAAGUACUCUUCUGCGCCUGUUUGAAGGUGUCUGUGUGCUUGUGAAGCGCUCCCUUGUUAGUUCCUUCUGUGAGACUCGGGGGAGACUGAAGAGGGAAAUCACCUGCGGGGAAUGAACAGGAAAGCAAUAAGAAGAUUUGGAAAAGAGGCACUGGCUACUGGAGGAAGGGAGAAAUCACCGAGAGAGCGAAAGAUGUAACAGAUGCAGUGACUCAUGCCUAUAAUCCCAGUACUUUGGAAGGUCAAGGCACAAGGAUCCAUUGAGGCCAGGAGUCCAAGACCAGCCUGCACAAUGUAGCAAGACUCCUUCUCUACAAAAAAAUAAAUAAAAAUUAGCCAGGCAUGGUGGUGCACUCCUGUAGUCCCAGCUACUCAAGAGGCUGAUGUAGAGAAUCGCAUUAUCCCAGAGGUCAAGGCUGCAGUGAGCCGUGAUCAUGCCUCUGCACUCCAGCCUGGACGAUAGAGCAAGACUUUAUCUCAAAAAACAAAAAUUUAAAAAGAUAUCAGGUAGCUCAUAGAAUUGUUGAGAGGGCUGUAAAACCAGGCUUGAAC